AAUGCGUGCACUCAGAAGAACUGGAUAGAAGUUGUAAAAUAGUAACUUUGAUAUUUUGAUGUUUCCUGUGUUUGCUUUCUUUAACCAGUUCCUGGAUGCGUUGUUGGUUUGCUUCUUGUUAGGUGUGAUCUCAGACCCUGCUUGAAUUUAGUUUUCAAAUACAGUGUGUUAUGAGUGAGCAAAAAAGUGCAGCUCAAUGCUGGCAGCAGCUGGAGAGCAAGCACCAACGUGUAUAGGAAUUCCAUUUUAUAUUCCAUAUCUGUUUUAUAAGACCACAGAUUUUAAACUCAUCCUUACACGUUUUCACUCAAAACCAGUUGUGCUUAUGUUGUUCUUUCUGUUGAUGUGGAUGUGCUUCAUCCUCGUUUUUGUUUUGUUCAGUGCUUGUAGCACCUUAUCUGCAAGCAUUUAACAUGCUAUUUUGUGGAAAUGCUGUUGAUUUCAACAGCCGAAUCGUUUCAGUUAAUACAGUUUUCCCAGGGAACUUGGAUGAGAUUUGUUCAGUGUGGAGAAUUCUGCUUUGCUCAGAGUUUAUAAGCAGCCGAAAGGAGCCCUGUAAGUUAUGUUUGACAGGAUAUAUUUUCAUUGCCAUCCACUUAGUUAUCAGUCAUUUUCACCUUCGCUUACCCAGUAAAACCAGGAUAAAUGAUUCUUCCUGUGAGACAGCAGAUGAAGCCUGUUCGUAUUCAUCACUUUAUUUUCACUCUUGCCAGUCACGAGGCAUGAAAUGCAUCCUAAUCCUCCUGUGAUUCCUGUCUCAUUGUUUCUGCUUGGAUUGUUGCCUGUGACUGCAUUUCAGGUAUUUAGCUUGUUUGGAGGCAAAGGAGCAGAAAAAAUAUUUUCUGCUUAUCUUUUUGUUUUGAACAUACUGGAAAGGGAAGAAGUCCAGGCCUUCUGGAAAAGUAGAGAAGCCACGGUGCUGAGGAAGUCUGAGCCUGCAGCUCUUUACCAGAAGCUGUGAGAGCUCUUAGUUUUGAAGAAUAUACCUUCAGUAUAAACCUUACCAGAAGAGAAGUGCUUGCAGUGGGCUGUUCCUCCUCAUCAGGUCUUUGUCCCAGAGCUUUUCUGUGGUCUUGCUCUGAGUGGGAAUGUACUCAAAACCUGCUCUGAAGGUCAGGAUGCACUCCUUGAGGUGGAUUUUUUGCGUGCUAAGGAAUAAAAUACUCUUACUUACAGUCAGAACAGUCUGUUCCUUUGGAUGUCUCAGAGGGGCUCUGAACGUUGCACAUCAGGUGAGGAUAACUGUGUCUGUCAGCCAGCUGUCAGGCCUCUUAGGCAAUUCCACAUUCCCUUCCAGAACUGAACUCAGUUGUUUGAUCCAGGUGUUCCAUGUUAGAGAACCAUUUGUGCAGGAGAGGCUUUGGCCUCUCUUUAUCUUUCUUAAUACGAAAAACUUAUGGAUUAAAUAAAAUCACUGAGCAAGGAUGUGUGCAGAGAAAGCUACACCUUCCAGACUUCACAAGGCUUUUCAGGUGUGAAAGGCAAUUCUGAAGAAUAGAGCUUCUCCUUCCCCACUUUCAUUGGAAAUGGCGUCAAGUAUUCUUUUAGCAGCUGGGCUCAAGCUUAAGAGAGAAGCAGCAAAAGAGCAUCAAAUGACUGGCUAUGUAGAUAGGUGUUGCUGAAAUGAGAUGCAAACAUGCUAGCACUUGAGUAAAGUGGUUUUAUAGUAGAUGACAAGAUCUUAGUGCAAAAACAGCAAGAGUGGGUUGAUUCAGCAAGCAAUGCUUGAACCCUAGUAGCAGUAAAUGCUUUUCUCUUUCUGUUCUGUCCCAUUCCUCCCCCUACUCCAUCAAACAGAAAACAGUAAUAAUGGAUUUUUAAUUAAAUUUGAACUUGUUGAAGGAAUACAUUGAGGAGUGCUGUUGUGUUAUAGAAGUUUAAAGGCUAGUUGAAGGCUUAGAGUCCAACUCAAGCUGGAAUCACCAUCGUUCUCAGAGGCGGUAUUUAGAAUGUUUGUUCCUUUAAUUUGCUAGUUUUCACUUAAAUCUUUUACAUCAAUUCAUAGUUUUCUGUUCUCUAAUAAUAUAAAAGCCAUAAAUUUGGGUGCUGUGGGAUUGUAUGAUGACACUUACUGCAAGGUAGAGGGUUUUGACAGACUGAGAAAGAUUGCUUGUUUGGUUUUUUGUUUUUUGGUAGGCUUGUCUGUUGUGAACUGACAGCCAUGUAUUUUCAGUUACAGCUGCAAAUAUGGCAUUUUGAGCAUAAAGGUUUUCUACUGAUUUAGACUCUCAGUGUUGUUUGUAUCAGGGUUAGCUAUGAAAGGUUUCUACUGCACGGUAUAUACAGUGGUUUCCAGAGAGCCACAGCUUGGGGAACCCCUGCAGAGCUUCCAGAGGAGGAUCAUGACAGUGACUUUGGGAGUCCGCCACUCUCACUGUGACACUUUCUUCCUCCUGUUGUACUUAAGUCUGCCUGAACUCUCAAGAAGGAAACUUCAGUUUGUUAAUAAACCCUUUCCUCACCAACCAGGGUAUGAAUACAGCUAAUUUAAUAUAUCCCAAGUCUGUUUGCUUUGCAUUUUUGCAUCACUGGGAGGCAGCGAUAUGAAAGCAGUGCGUGUUGAACUGUGCAGCUUGUAGAUUCUUUAAGAAUCUGUCUUAAAAUACAGCUGCAACAGGAAGAUGGUAAAGUAGUUUCUAGGAGUGAAUAGAACUGUGAGUACUGCUGAAACACUACAUUGUCUUCAACCACUCUGUUCCUUUCAAAGGAAUUGUAGUGAGCAUCAUUUACUAUUCCUGUAUACUCAGACAUUAUUCUACACUAACUUGCUUUUCUACUUCUGUGCCUCUGCAUUUUGGUUUUUCAGUUGCACAUUAUAGGUGUAUACUUUGUGGUUGAUGCAUGUUCUUCCCUUCUUAAUGCCAUAUGUGUCUUUUGAUUAACUACUGUUUAAGUGAUACAGAGAGCUGCACAUUUGCUGAAUCCAGCAUACUAGGAAAAGAAAUUGUAGUUAAUGUGCCUAAAAAGGUAUCCAAGAACAGCCUUACUGAAAACACUGAAAGAACCCAGUUCUUUUUGUUUAGUAGAAUUAUGGAUAAUACCAUACCUUCCUUUCUUUGGCCAAAUUGGGGACGUUCCUUCAGAUGUGAGUUGUUGGAGACGUUUAUCUGGAGAAACUUCACCACCCAAAUACUUGUAGUACGAGUAGUUUUUACCAGUUUAGCACCUGGUCUUUUGGUUUUCACUUUUUCCUCUGUUCCCACUGCCAGAACUCUUCAUCUGACAGACCAAGAAGCCAGUUCUUCCAAACAGUGAUUUCUUUCAUCUCGGGUAGAUGAGUAUCUGGUGGUUUUCAGUUGUACAGAUGUUUCUCAGUGCAAGAAAGCAGUUCUUUCUAUUGCAGGCACUUCUCUUGCUAGUGCUUAGUAUGCACUGGGGAACUGAUCUAAGACAACACUGAUGUUUUAAUUCUCUGGUUUGGGUUUGUGUACAAUUGAGGAUGAUACAUGAGGAAGAGCCAGAAUACUGCCUUCCUUUAUUCAAAUGACAAUUAAAAAAAAAACCUGGUGAUAAUGUGCCCUAUACAAGGCUAGAAAGAAUGAGGAGUGGUGUGGGAUGUACGUGGUGCUACUGUUCUGCCAGCUAAAGAUAGGGAGUAAAACGUGGUACAGAUGAGUGUGGAAAGAUGUCAAGAUGCGGCAUCUUGUUCAUUACACAGCUUUUAGUAGGGCUGUGCUCUAACUUCCUGCUCUGAAAUCAGCUGAUAAGAUAGGCAGCACAUUUUUGGUUCUUGCUGUUUGACUGAAAUCUCCCUGUACCUGAAGAACACAUUGGGACAGUUUAUUUCUGGAACCAGUCAGCAUUCUUCCCUCGCAGUGUGCUCAUCAUGAAAGCAGGUCUUAUUGGAGUGCCCAUUACUGUGCACUUCUGAAACAAGAGCAGGUGAAGUCACCUCAGGUCUCUAAAUCAAAAACACAUAGGAAGUCUUUGAAAAUCCUGAACUAGAAUAAAAAUGUCCAAGGGAAUUUUUGCAUGGGCGAAGGAUUGCAAGCACCAGCAUCAAAAUUGUACUGAAGUUGCAUUAAAAGAAAUCUGUUGUAGUCAGAUGAUGUCUCUCUCGUCUUUGUUCUUGCAUCUUAGGUUUUCUAAAGAUGAUACUUAAGGACGGAGUAGCAGCAGCAUUUGGGUAGGGAGAAGAUAGCCUGAUAAAGCUAUGUGUUGUUUUAGGACUUUUUAAAAAUUAUUUUUAAGGAAUGCUUAAUGUGAACUGCAUCUUUCCAUUGUAAUCUCCUCCUCUGUUGUUCAAUUAGUCAUUCUAGGAGUGCACCCUUUCUCAGUGGGGGUACAGAAUAAACUGCUGUACAAGCAUAAUGGAAGUCUUGCUUAGUGUGAAAUCUCAGCUUUCGAAAGCGAGAAGGUGCUCCUAGGCUUGGUGGCCAGCAGAGUGGUAGCAAAUGCUGAAGGACAGAGACUGUGAUGAGCACUAACAGCGAUGUGCAACGGGAACUGAUGGCAGGUAUUCAUAUCUAGUCCUCGUAGUCUGAGAUAAAUAUGGAAGCCAUAGGUGCAGAGUGACUUCUGUGGAUUCCUCUGUUCUGGACGAAUAUUUCAGUGUUGAUAGAAACAUUUGUUUCCAUAGCGUGUCCAAGAGCUGUUCUGCAGUGGAGAAGGUAAGUUCAUACGUGUGGGCAGGUGGUGGACAACCAAACCCUUAAUUUGUUCUGAUUUAUUUUUUUUUCUCUGACCCAGUCCUUAGAGUUUUAUUGGACAGAUGUUGGACUGAUCAGACAGCUGCUGAAACCAUGAAGAAUUGGGGCAUAUUUUUAUUACUGGGGAGGAAAAGAGAUAUCUAAGAUUUUUAGCCUUUCCACGAUGCUCUCAGAUGCGUUGUUGAAUUUUAAGGUGUUUCUGUAUGGAUCCAGAUUGCAAUAUGCUGUAAUUACGUUUGUUGUCUUUUGAAACACAGACUCAGGUGCAGUUCAGUGUCAUUCUCUGUUCAUUUUCCUGAUUGAGGAUUACUGUCUCUGCAGUGCUUGUUGCUUGAAACUAUUCCGUUGCCACUGUUUAUUUCUGUCUUACAAGUUCAGCUGGGUCCUCUUUGCUUUAUGGUGAGGGACUGCUGCUGGCUAUUAGCUGUGCUUUAAAGACAAACAUUCCUAUUUUUAUUCAAGUUCAGAUUGUGUUUGCUCUGAAACCCAGUGGAAGUGUUAGCUGUAUCUCAGCUCCCUGAUUUGGGUUGAUAGGACUUGCCUGUGAAUCUUGUUCUGACAGAUCAUUACCUCCCUGGACUCCUUCCUUAGCUAACUUAUCAAAGAAUCCAGGUAUGCUUUGCUAGGUAAAACUAUGCGUAGACAGCAGGGAUUUGUUGUUCAUGGGAGGAGGGAGGGAGGAGGAAUUCAUAGCAUGGAAACAUGAAAUCUGAAUCAGUUUGAAUUUAAAAAUAAAAAUCUAGGAGAUUCAGUAUCUUAAUGCUGUGGGUUGGAAGAAUGCUGGAGAAGCUCUUGAAUAUGAGAUUAUUUUUUUAAAAGUGUCAAUAAAAUUGUGUGCAAUCUGUGCUUUUGCAGUAAAUAGAAACUGUACCAUGGAUUAGCUCAUCUUCCAGAAGAACCCCAGCAUCUGCCUGCCAUGGCAAGUGAUCUGAGGAGCUCCAGGUGGGUGUGCUACAUGUGUAUCGAGUCUUCUCUCUAGACGGUGUACUCUAUGAACUGCACAUGCAUUGUAUAAUUGUUUCCUACCUGGUCCUUUUGUAAUGUCUGUUUGUUUGUUUGUUUUUCAAAUAAACAUCUUUUGAAGUCA
Centrocercus urophasianus (Greater sage-grouse) is the source of this 5736-nucleotide long non-coding RNA. RefSeq lists it as uncharacterized. The transcript is spliced from 2 exons. The record is from RefSeq and is a predicted model, not a curated record. NCBI's taxonomy places the organism in Eukaryota, Metazoa, Chordata, Aves, Galliformes, Phasianidae.